This is a non-coding RNA of Myodes glareolus (Bank vole), 1363 nucleotides long. The record is from RefSeq and is a predicted model, not a curated record. NCBI's taxonomy places the organism in Eukaryota, Metazoa, Chordata, Mammalia, Rodentia, Cricetidae.
CCUCAGAAAAGGCAAAUAAGGCAAAAAGCAAAAUGGAGGUGGAACUGGAAGCCAGAAGUGAACAGACAAGUUGAGCUUCAGGAAGUGUCGAGGGUGGAUAAUGGGUGUUCCAGCCGAGGACAGACAGAGGACGUGGCAUCUGAGCUGGCUCUUCCUUGAGGGAGGAUGGUAUUCCUGGUAGAGGAAAUGCUGCGUGAGCCACUCAGGCUUCAGAAAGCUCCAUUGCCUCGGGUGUAAAUGACAUGUCAGCAGCCAUCCCACAGGGCUUUGAGUGCAGACACAUGCAGCCUCCAGAUAACACCAGCAGGACCGGGAACAAGAUAAAAGGUGCUCACACCUCAGCAAGGACAGAAGGUCCUCCUAGAGAUGCAGGCUCGAAGCAGCAGGCCCUAGUAACCCAUCUUUGUUGUUUAAAAGCACUCUGCCAAGGUGACUUGGUGGCACACACCUAUAAUCACAACACUUAGACUCGGGAGAUGGAGGCAGAAGGAUGAAGGUUAAAAGUCAUCCUUGGCUACACGCUGGGCUUGAAGUAAGCCUGGGCUACAAAAGACUCAACUCUUAAAGAAGGUGAGGGGGGAGCGUGUAGUAGUAUAUUAUUUGUGUUUUAAUAAAUAAGUCUUGCCUGACGAUCAGAGGGUAAAGCAGCCAUAUUAGUCAGUCAUACAGGGGGUGGUGAUGCACACCUUUAAUUCCCAGGACUCUGGAGACAGAGGCAGCCUGAACUCUGUGAGUUCAAGGCCACCCUGGGCUAUACAAGAUUGAGUCUGUCUAAAAGAGAAACAGAGCUCACACAAAGGUGAUCCCAACACUUGGGAUCACAUGCCUUUAAUACCAGCACUGGGGAGGUGGAGAUAUGGAGGUCACAUGCAUUUCAUACCAGCACUAGGAAUUACAUGGUGGGGCAGAGAGAGGAACUCUAGAGUGUUCUGGAGUCUGAACUUCGUGGAUCUUCGUGAGCUUGCAGGAUCGCCCCUUUGUUUUUCUGAGCCUUGGUAGAGGUAUGUUCCUUGUAUCCCUGCUCUCUCCAAGACCUUUAUCAUGAAGAUAAAACUUGUCAAAAGAAACUCUCCCCAAAAUUAGGGUUGGGGAAGGGUUUUGUUUUUGUCUUUUAAGGAGAAUAAAGGAAUCCAGCUAAGGAACCUGAAGACCACUGAAGAAAUGAGACAUCUGAAAAAAAAGGACAAAUCAUUCAGGAAAACAAUAUCUCAAGAAAAAGAGUAAAUUGGCCUAUUGGAUCCACUAAAAAUACUGUCACCCAGACCAGACAGCAGGAAGUAAAUUUAAGAAUAUGAUGCCUACAUUCCCAAGAGUGAGACACAUCUGCUCCAGGCAGCACCAGUUUACUUCAGAAAAGAUGAUG